CCAGUAAGAUACCGUGAUGGCCUUUGUUCUCUGUUCUCAGUUCCUCACGAUGCGGACGGCGACCGUGUCAAGUCAGCUCGUGCUUCCCUCCCUAUUCCCCAAUCCAGCAAACCCUAAUCUCGCCUCUUAGUUCUUGCUCGGCUCCAGCGAGUGGUGGCGCUCGACAUCGACGAGCGGCAGCAGCCGCCAGGGCAGGCGGACGGCAACCGGGGCGGGGCCUCCUGCUGGGCGGUCACAGGAGCGGCAGCAUGGCAGAUCUGCAGAGCGGCGCUGCCGCGGCCGGACAGCGGCGCCUGCCGAGGGACGCCAGGACAUGCCACCGACCCGCCGUGCAAGCAAGUAGUGGAGGUGAGGGAUGACCACCGCAAGUAAGCACCGGCCUGCGUGCAAGCAAGCAGGAGCUCUGUAGCUGAGCUAAGCAGCAGCGCAGCACCAGGCCACUUGGACGACCAAGAGCUCGAAGCAGGCACACAAAAGGCAAGACUGGAAAUUGGGAUUUCAGAAAAGUUUGUUGGUUUCUACUUCAUCUGGAAAGGAAUUGGUGGAUAAAUAAUAUGAAGAAGUGCUUGAUGAAAGAGCAUUAUUUCGAGCAUCAUUCUACCGAGGCGGCUGCAUUGAUUAUUUGCUUAGAGCAUCUCCAAGAGUUUGCCAAAAUUUACUUGCCAAAUCUUGUGAUUUGGCAAGUUGCUAAAACAUAUGGCAAGUGUAAUUUUGUAGUCUCUCCAAUAGUUUGCCAUAUGUGCUUGGUAAAAUUUAAAAAGUAGACCCACUUCCAAAUCUCCAUCAACUAAUUUCACUUUUAUUUAUCAUCACACCCAGAUUUAUAUUAGCUAAAUUUCACUUUUAUUUGUCAUCGCACUACUACUAUAUUGAUUCAAGGAACCUGUACUUUCGUUUCAUUUUGUUAUUCAGAGAAUAUUUGGUCUUAUUUGAAAGUGUCAAUACUUUUAUUUUUUCUAUUCAAAGAACUUGUACGUA
This is a long non-coding RNA of Sorghum bicolor (sorghum), 978 nucleotides long. RefSeq lists it as uncharacterized. NCBI's taxonomy places the organism in Eukaryota, Viridiplantae, Streptophyta, Magnoliopsida, Poales, Poaceae. The record is from RefSeq and is a predicted model, not a curated record. The transcript has 3 exons.